RNAcentral lists this ribosomal RNA (253 nucleotides) under uncultured bacterium. RNAcentral's name for it is "partial 16S ribosomal RNA". It matches the Rfam family "Bacterial small subunit ribosomal RNA", at positions 524 to 776 of the family's 1533-position model. The record is from RNAcentral.
UACGAAGGGGGCUAGCGUUGCUCGGAAUUACUGGGCGUAGAGGGCGCGUAGGCGGACAGUUUAGUCAGAGGUGAAAGCCCAGGGCUCAACCUUGGAAUUGCCUUUGAUACUGGCUGUCUUGAGUUCGGGAGAGGUGAGUGGAAUGCCGAGUGUAGAGGUGAAAUUCGUAGAUAUUCGGCGGAACACCAGUGGCGAAGGCGACUCACUGGCCCGAUACUGACGCUGAGGCGCGAAAGCGUGGGGAGCAAACAGG